GCGGGGCGAGCGGAUCGUCUGUGGCUGCGCUCCGCACCGACACCCCACGCUACACCGCAACUGACAUGUUUACCGUGGACUUCUCUCUUUACGUACAAGGACUGUGUGUUUCUAAAACUUGUGCCGGAAGGAUCCUCGGUUAAUAUUUGUGUCCGAAGGUUAUUUCUCUUCCAUUAUACACUCUUGACAGUUCGAUAAGGAAGUGAGGACUUUAAUGUAAUACGCACAUCAAGAGGACCUCCCUCCCGUCCACUAACACACUAUAUCUGGGACAAGACUGACCAACACACGUACAAGAAUAGUGUCUUCCUGCCUGUACGUUAUCGUACUGAAGACAGCCAGUAUGGUGGAAGUGUCAUCAGGUCCUUGGAGCGUGAGAUGAACACAACGCAGCUGGAAAGAAACAUGACGCAAAGGGGAGGCCAUAAUAUUAUUAAGGUCAACGUUAAUAAGGUGUUGACCCCGCAGGAGUAUGUCAGCGGUGACGUCAUCGCCACUCCCGUGCAUGUACAAAUUGAACAGCUGUGAAGAGGUGUCGUCAGGUUUCCCGCCCCAGAUCAACCACUCCUAAAUCUGCUACACUGUGCCAUGGAUCAACCAACCAACCAGAACUCUGCUACACUGUGCCAUGGAUCAACCAGCCAACCAGAACUCUGCUACACUGUGCCAUGGAUCAACCAACUUAUCGGACCUCUGCUACACU
Homarus americanus (American lobster) is the source of this 703-nucleotide long non-coding RNA. RefSeq lists it as uncharacterized. The transcript is spliced from 4 exons. The record is from RefSeq and is a predicted model, not a curated record. NCBI's taxonomy places the organism in Eukaryota, Metazoa, Arthropoda, Malacostraca, Decapoda, Nephropidae.